GAAGAUUUCCAAAGCAAAUUUGACCAGAAGCUGUUCAGAAUUCAAGUGAAGAAGCCAUUUGGCCGUGCUUCAUCCACAUCAUCUUCAAAACUGUAUAUCCAGUCAUGCAUUGAAAAGGAAAACAUUAUUCAUUCUCUCCAAACACCAGCCACAAGAUCAAUCAAUAUCGUCGAAAGCAAGAAAAGGAAAAAAGAACAUGUAUCUUCCCAUGAUACAAAAACAAACCUCGCCAACCGAACAAGGUGAAUCAAUCAAGAUGAAACGGUAAACUCGGAGCCAACAACUCAAAGUGAAAAGGAAAUGAAGGUUAACCAACUAAUUUUGCAACCACUUUUGGCUUUCAUGGAACAAAGUUGUUUUGCAGGAAAAUGAAGUGUUCACUAUAACUUACUCAAUUUUUGGCUUGUACAUAGAUUUCCAGUAACUUCUAUAGUCAUGGAAUAAAGGAAGCACCAGCUGUUGUUAAAUCCUACUAUGACAAAAGAAUUGUAGGAUGUCCAGGAAGUGAA
Long non-coding RNA from Lycium ferocissimum, 509 nucleotides. RefSeq lists it as uncharacterized. The transcript is spliced from 4 exons. The record is from RefSeq and is a predicted model, not a curated record. Lineage: Eukaryota; Viridiplantae; Streptophyta; Magnoliopsida; Solanales; Solanaceae.